This 253-nucleotide ribosomal RNA is filed under the name uncultured bacterium. Its description in RNAcentral is "partial 16S ribosomal RNA". It matches the Rfam family "Bacterial small subunit ribosomal RNA", at positions 524 to 776 of the family's 1533-position model. The record is from RNAcentral.
UACGUAGGUGGCAAGCGUUGUCCGGAUUUACUGGGCGUAAAGAGCGCGCAGGCGGUCGUUCAAGUCGCGUGUGAAAGCCCCCGGCUCAACUGGGGAGGGUCACGCGAUACUGAUCGACUCGAAGGCAGGAGAGGGAAGUGGAAUUCCCGGUGUAGUGGUGAAAUGCGUAGAUAUCGGGAGGAACACCAGUGGCGAAGGCGGGUCUCUGGGCCGUAACUGACGCUGAGGAGCGAAAGCAUGGGGAGCGAACAGG